RNAcentral lists this ribosomal RNA (407 nucleotides) under Acidobacteriota bacterium. Its description in RNAcentral is "Acidobacteria bacterium partial 16S ribosomal RNA". It matches the Rfam family "Bacterial small subunit ribosomal RNA", at positions 355 to 776 of the family's 1533-position model. The record is from RNAcentral. Lineage: Bacteria; Pseudomonadati; Acidobacteriota.
UGGGGAAUAUUGGGCAAUGGGCGCAAGCCUGACCAAGCAACGCCGCGUGAAGGAAGAAGGCUUUCGGGUUGUAAACUUCUUUUGUCGGGGACGAAACAAAUGACGGUACCCGACGAAUAAGCCACGGCUAACAACGUGCCAGCAGCCGCGGUAAUACGUAGGUGGCAAGCGUUAUCCGGAUUUACUGGGUGUAAAGGGCGUGUAGGCGGGAUUGCAAGUCAGAUGUGAAAACUGGGGGCUCAACCUCCAGCCUGCAUUUGAAACUGUAGUUCUUGAGUGCUGGAGAGGCAAUCGGAAUUCCGUGUGUAGCGGUGAAAUGCGUAGAUAUACGGAGGAACACCAGUGGCGAAGGCGGAUUGCUGGACAGUAACUGACGCUGAGGCGCGAAAGCGUGGGGAGCAAACAGG